GAUGAACGCUGGCGGCAUGCCUAAUACAUGCAAGUCGAACGAGAGGAAGGAAAGCUUGCUUUCCUGAAUCUAGUGGCGAACGGGUGAGUAACACGUAGGUAACCUGCCCCUGUGCCCGGGAUAACUUCUGGAAACGGAUGCUAAAACCGGAUAGGCAGCAGACAAGCAUUUGACUGCUAUUAAAGUGGCCUUGGCCACGAACAUGGAUGGCCCUGCGGUGCAUUGGGUAGUUGGUGAGGGAACGGCCGACCAAGGCGACGGUGCAUAGCCGGGCUGAGAGUGCGGACGGCCACAUUGGGACUGAGACACGGCCCAAACUCCUACGGGAGGCAGCAGUAGGGAAUUUUCGUCAAUGGGGGGGACCCUGAACGAGCAAUGCCGCGUGAGUGAGGAAGGUCUUCGGAUCGUAAAGCUCUGUUGUAAGAGAAAAACGGCACUCAUAGGGAAUGAUGAGUGAGUGAUGGUAUCUUACCAGAAAGUCACGGCUAACUACGUGCCAGCCGCCGCAGUAA
RNAcentral lists this ribosomal RNA (512 nucleotides) under uncultured bacterium. RNAcentral describes it as "partial 16S ribosomal RNA". It matches the Rfam family "Bacterial small subunit ribosomal RNA", at positions 28 to 523 of the family's 1533-position model. The record is from RNAcentral.